GUUGACCUCUGAUCAGGUAGGGAUA
RNAcentral lists this ribosomal RNA (25 nucleotides) under Cercospora cf. flagellaris MUCC 127. RNAcentral's name for it is "partial 28S ribosomal RNA". Lineage: Eukaryota; Fungi; Ascomycota; Dothideomycetes; Mycosphaerellales; Mycosphaerellaceae. The record is from RNAcentral.